AUUGAACGCUGGCGGAAUGCUUUACACAUGCAAGUCGAACGGUAGAGGGGGCAACCCCUCGAGAGUGGCGAACGGGUGAGUAAUAUACCGGAACGUGCCCAGUCGUGGGGGAUAACGCAGUGAAAAUUACGCUAAUACCGCAUACGAUCUAUGGAUGAAAGCGGGGGAUCGCCAGACCUCGCGCGAUUGGCUCGGCGGAUAUCAGAUUAGGUAGUUGGUGGGGUAAAGGCCCACCAAGCCAACGAUCUGUAGCUGGUCUGAGAGGACGACCAGCCACACUGGAACUGAGACACGGUCCAGACUCCUACGGGAGGCAGCAGUGGGGAAUUUUGGACAAUGGGCGAAAGCCUGAUCCAGCCAUUCCGCGUGCAGGAUGAAGGCCCUCGGGUUGUAAACUGCUUUUGUACAGAACGAAAAGGUUUCUACUAAUACUAGGAGCUCAUGACGGUACUGUAAGAAUAAGCACCGGCUAACUACGUGCCAGCAGCCGCCGUAA
Molecule: ribosomal RNA, 496 nt
Filed under: uncultured bacterium
Lineage: Bacteria
Description: partial 16S ribosomal RNA
Rfam family: Bacterial small subunit ribosomal RNA
Source: RNAcentral